Molecule: ribosomal RNA, 468 nt
Filed under: uncultured bacterium
Lineage: Bacteria
Description: partial 16S ribosomal RNA
Rfam family: Bacterial small subunit ribosomal RNA
Source: RNAcentral
GACGAACGCUGGCGGCGUGCUUAACACAUGCAAGUCGAACGGAAAGGCCCUGCUUUUGUGGGGUGCUCGAGUGGCGAACGGGUGAGUAACACGUGAGUAACCUGCCCUUGACUUUGGGAUAACUUCAGGAAACUGGGGCUAAUACCGGAUAGGAGUUCCUGCUGCAGGGUGGGGGUUGGAAAGUUUCGGCGGUUGGGGAUGGACUCGCGGCUCAUCAGCUUGUUGGUGGGGUAGUGGCUUACCAAGGCUUUGACGGGUAGCCGGCCUGAGAGGGUCACCGGCCACAUUGGGACUGAGAUACGGCCCAGACUCCUACGGGAGGCAGCAGUGGGGAAUAUUGCACAAUGGGCGGAAGCCUGAUGCAGCAACGCCGCGUGCGGGAUGACGGCCUUCGGGUUGUAAACCACUUUCGCCUGUGACGAAGCGUGAGUGACGGUAAUGGGUAAAGAAGCACCGGCUAACUACGUG